RNAcentral lists this ribosomal RNA (439 nucleotides) under uncultured bacterium. RNAcentral describes it as "partial 16S ribosomal RNA". It matches the Rfam family "Bacterial small subunit ribosomal RNA", at positions 339 to 795 of the family's 1533-position model. The record is from RNAcentral.
CUACGGGCGGCUGCAGUGGGGAAUAUUGCACAAUGGAGGAAACUCUGAUGCAGCAACGCCGCGUGGAGGAUGACACUUUUCGGAGUGUAAACUCCUUUUAUAUAGGAAGAAGAUGACGGUACUAUAUGAAUAAGCGCCGGCUAACUCCGUGCCAGCAGCCGCGGUAAUACGGAGGGCGCAAGCGUUACUCGGAAUCACGGGGCGUAAAGAGCGUGUAGGCGGAUUAAAAAGUCAGAAGUGAAAUCCUAUAGCUUAACUAUAGAACUGCUUCUGAAACUCUUAAUCUAGAAUAUGGGAGAGGUAGAUGGAAUUUCUGGUGUAGGGGUAAAAUCCGUAGAGAUCAGAAGGAAUACCGAUUGCGAAGGCGAUCUACUAGAACAUUAUUGACGCUGAGACGCGAAAGCGUGGGGAGCAAACAGGAUUAGAUACCCGGGUAGUC